RNAcentral lists this ribosomal RNA (1379 nucleotides) under uncultured bacterium. RNAcentral describes it as "bacterial SSU rRNA". It matches the Rfam family "Bacterial small subunit ribosomal RNA". The record is from RNAcentral.
AGAGUUUGAUCCUGGCUCAGGACGAACGCUGGCGGCGCGCCUAACACAUGCAAGUCGAACGGAGUCAAGAGGAGCUUGCUUUUCUUGACUUAGUGGCGAACGGGUGAGUAACGCGUGAGUAACCUGCCCUGGAGUGGGGGACAACAGUUGGAAACGACUGCUAAUACCGCAUAAGCCCACGGAUCCGCAUGGAUCUGCGGGAAAAGGAUUUAUUCGCUUCAGGAUGGACUCGCGUCCAAUUAGCUAGUUGGUGAGGUAACGGCCCACCAAGGCGACGAUUGGUAGCCGGACUGAGAGGUUGAACGGCCACAUUGGGACUGAGACACGGCCCAGACUCCUACGGGAGGCAGCAGUGGGGGAUAUUGCACAAUGGGGGAAACCCUGAUGCAGCGACGCCGCGUGGAGGAAGAAGGUUUUCGGAUUGUAAACUCCUGUCGUUAGGGACGAUAAUGACGGUACCUAACAAGAAAGCACCGGCUAACUACGUGCCAGCAGCCGCGGUAAAACGUAGGGUGCAAGCGUUGUCCGGAAUUACUGGGUGUAAAGGGAGCGCAGGCGGACCGGCAAGUUGGAAGUGAAAACUAUGGGCUCAACCCAUAAAUUGCUUUCAAAACUGCUGGCCUUGAGUAGUGCAGAGGUAGGUGGAAUUCCCGGUGUAGCGGUGGAAUGCGUAGAUAUCGGGAGGAACACCAGUGGCGAAGGCGACCUACUGGGCACCAACUGACGCUGAGGCUCGAAAGCAUGGGUAGCAAACAGGAUUAGAUACCCUGGUAGUCCAUGCCGUAAACGAUGAUUACUAGGUGUUGGAGGAUUGACCCCUUCAGUGCCGCAGUUAACACAAUAAGUAAUCCACCUGGGGGAGUACGACCCGCAAGGUUGAAACUCAAAAGGAAUUGACGGGGGGCCCGCACAAGCAGUGGAAGAAUGUGGGUUUAAUUUCGAAGCAACGCGAAGAACCUUACCAGGUCUUGACAUCCGAUGCAUAGUGCAGAGAUGCAUGAAGUCCUUCGGGACAUCGAGACAGGUGGUGCAUGGUUGUCGUCAGCUCGUGUCGUGAGAUGUUGGGUUAAGUCCCGCAACGAGCGCAACCCUUAUUGCCAGUUACUACGCAAGAGGACUCUGGCGAGACUGCCGUUGACAAAACGGAGGAAGGUGGGGAUGACGUCAAAUCAUCAUGCCCUUUAUGACCUGGGCUACACACGUACUACAAUGGCGUUUAACAAAGAGAAGCAAGACCGCGAGGUGGAGCAAAACUCAAAAACAACGUCUCAGUUCAGAUUGCAGGCUGCAACUCGCCUGCAUGAAGUCGGAAUUGCUAGUAAUCGCGGAUCAGCAUGCCGCGGUGAAUACGUUCCCGGGCCUUGCACACACCGCCCGUC